RNAcentral lists this long non-coding RNA (1054 nucleotides) under Anser brachyrhynchus (Pink-footed goose). RNAcentral describes it as "lncRNA (ENSABRG00000016270.1)". The record is from RNAcentral. Lineage: Eukaryota; Metazoa; Chordata; Aves; Anseriformes; Anatidae.
GGCAGUCCAUCGGUGUACUAAUACAUUGUCCGGACUGUUUUGGCAAAGACAUCCGGUCUGCCUCUGGGCACGUACUGAAGGGCAGCUGGCACAGAGUCAUCUCCGUGGUGUUUGGCAAAUGUGGAGGGGGAGACUUGAGCUGCUUGCGAGCAGCUGUUUGCAUAGUGCUUGAAUAGUGCUAGAGGAUAGGUCUGUCGUUGAAUCUUGAAAGCUCGUAGAUGUGGAGUUUUUUUUUUUUUUUCCUCCAGUCUUAGGUAAACCUUAGGAGGAACCGGUCAAAGGAGAGAGCGCCUUCUGGAACUGUCAAGCACUUGUUCGGCAGCUCAGUGACUGGCUUGGUCUACUUCUGAGGUGCCGAGGCAGGUUGUCUGCUGUUUUGAAACGAUAACAUUGGAAAUGGGGUCCCAUGUGUUGUUGAGGGAUGGGUGCUAAUGCUGGCAGCUGAAUGAUUACCUUCUAUGUUUUCAUUUGUUAAAGCUGAAACGCAGCGUACAACCUGGGACGUCACACCCAGAGCUGCCUCUGGCAAGGUGAGCGAUGAACAGAUGGAGCAGUUAUAGUUGGGUUGCUGUUCUCACUGUCACUCUAAGUGUCCCCUCUGUUCUCUUUUAGAGGUGUUGUAGCUGGCUUAAGAGGGUAGAUGGAAGCAUCUGCCUCGGGGUGUCUCGCACAGGCUCAAAGGAGCAAACUGCAUUCUGAAGAGCUGCGUGCCAUGGCAGGCUCUCCACAGAAGUGGCUGAGGAUUUGAGAUGAGGCCAGAGAGUGACAAGGAGCAGCACGUGCAGGGAUGGUUUCCAAGCGCUGCGAUUGUUUUCUCUUCUGUUUAUCAGGUGAAGAGGUGCCUGAAGCCCCAUCCUGGCUGGCCAGCGCACACCUCGCUGAGAACGAAAGCUGCUUUCCAGUAAUUCAGAAAGCUAAGUUACGUCUCGGCCUCGAGCAUCUGGGGCGUGUGCCUGUGCUUUUGGACCUGUCUGUAGCAUUUGGCACCUGCAUUAAUACUUUCUUGGCAUAUGUGCAGGCUUUUGGGGCCUGUGUCUUGGGGGGAGGGUUGGGG